This 424-nucleotide unclassified non-coding RNA is filed under the name soil metagenome. Its description in RNAcentral is "partial contains 5.8S ribosomal RNA, internal transcribed spacer 2, and large subunit ribosomal RNA". The stretch from base 2 to 119 matches the Rfam family "5.8S ribosomal RNA", at positions 37 to 154 of the family's 154-position model. The record is from RNAcentral.
GUGAAGAACGUAGCGAAAUGCGAUAAGUAGUGUGAAUUGCAGAAUUCCGUGAAUCAUCGAAUCUUUGAACGCACAUUGCGCCUUCUGGUAUUCCGGAAGGCAUGCCUGUUCGAGAGUCAUUAACAACCGUUUCGAUCCCUUUCUUUCAGAAAUUACAAAGAGGAAAAGGGUUUGGUUAUGGUGGAGGAGGGAAAGGGAGCGUUUAGCCUGUAAAAAAAGAGGCUGUGUUCCGCCUCCCCCCCAAAAUUGUACAGGCGGUCGUGUGCGCCCACGCAUCGAGGUGUUGUAAAAGCUGCCACGGCACUUUUCACCUGUGCAGUGCGAGAUUGGCCAGCCGGUUUAAAAACCCCUCCAAACAAUCAAAGGUUGACCUCGGAUCAGGUAGGGAUACCCGCUGAACUUAAGCAUAUCAAUAAGCGGAGGA